CUAGCGUGGAGGCAGAGGCCACAGCCAGCCAGCCCCAGCCAGUGUUACGUGGGAUUCUGUGAGGGGAGGAGCUGCACCCCUAUUAAUUCCUCCCCAAAUAGUGUGUAUCUGAAAAACUGACUUCCUAACACCUGUGCUGAUAUAUAAAGCCACUUAGGAACAUAACGCGACGCACUCUGCUUGGUCUGAAGAGUGCAGGUGUGUGAAAAUACAAAUGCUAAAGAACACGCGGAAGAAAAGAACAAGAACUAGAAAGAGACCGAUAAAGAAAGGAGAACUGAGGAAGAACUGGAUAAAGGAGUGAACA
Molecule: long non-coding RNA, 307 nt
Organism: Portunus trituberculatus (swimming crab)
Lineage: Eukaryota; Metazoa; Arthropoda; Malacostraca; Decapoda; Portunidae
Exons: 2
Source: RefSeq, a predicted model, not a curated record